UUCCCCAUGGUCCAGUGGCUAAGACUCUGCACUCACAAUGCAGGGGGCCCGGGUUCAAUCCCCGGUCAGGGAAU
Non-coding RNA from Budorcas taxicolor (takin), 74 nucleotides. Lineage: Eukaryota; Metazoa; Chordata; Mammalia; Artiodactyla; Bovidae. The record is from the annotation of a RefSeq genome assembly.